GGGGGGUAGGGCAGGAAAUAACAAUAAGGGGCUAAGUUUAAUGGGGAGUAAGGGGAAUUAAAGGUUUUUAAAGUUUUAAAGGGGAGCAAAGUUAGGGCACGUCAGGCCGUAAUCCCGGUCCAAACAGCUUAAUAAAAUAUUUUAAAAUAAAAACAUUUAAAAUGAUUUUAGUUGACUUUGUUCUUUUUCCCCGCGGGGUUAUGCAAGGGUUAUUUCGGGUAUUGCAUAGGCUUUGCCUGGAUGUUUACUUUGAGAAAAUUAGAGUGCUCAAAGCAGGCUUUAGCCUGUAUAGUUUAGCACGGAAUAAUAAAGUAGGACUUUGGUUCUAUUUUGU
Molecule: ribosomal RNA, 334 nt
Filed under: Theileria sp.
Lineage: Eukaryota; Apicomplexa; Aconoidasida; Piroplasmida; Theileriidae
Description: SSU rRNA
Rfam family: Eukaryotic small subunit ribosomal RNA (bases 157-334)
Source: RNAcentral